CCUACGGGAGGCAGCAGUGGGGAAUCUUGCGCAAUGGGCGAAAGCCUGACGCAGCAACGCCGCGUGCGGGAAGAAGGCCUUCGGGUUGUAAACCGCUUUCAGCAGGAACGAAAAUGACGGUACCUGCAGAAGAAGGAGCGGCCAACUACGUGCCAGCAGCCGCGGUGACACGUAGGCUCCAAGCGUUGUCCGGAUUUAUUGGGCGUAAAGAGCUCGUAGGCGGUUCAGUAAGUCGGGUGUGAAAACUCUGGGCUCAACCCAGAGCCUGCAUUCGAAACUGCUGUGACUAGAGUUUGGUAGGGGAGCGGGGAAUUCCUAGUGUAGCGGUGAAAUGCGCAGAUAUUAGGAGGAACACCGGUGGCGAAAGCGCCGCUCUGGGCCAAUACUGACGCUGAGGAGCGAAAGCGUGGGUAGCAAACAGGAUUAGAUACCCUGGUAGUCCACGCCGUAAACGAUGGGCACUAGGUGUGGGUUUCAACUAACGAAAUCCGUGCCGUCGCUAACGCAUUAAGUGCCCCGCCUGGGGGAGGUACGGUCGCGAGAACGUAAAACUUAAAAUAGAAGUUAGACGGUCGUGUAGACGUUGUCCGAAGGACGACGACGAGGGGAGGUAGGG
This 616-nucleotide ribosomal RNA is filed under the name uncultured bacterium. RNAcentral describes it as "bacterial SSU rRNA". The stretch from base 1 to 521 matches the Rfam family "Bacterial small subunit ribosomal RNA", at positions 338 to 873 of the family's 1533-position model. The record is from RNAcentral.